GGUUCCAUGGUGUAAUGGUGAGCACUCUGGACUUUGAAUCCAGCGAUCUGAGUCUGAGUCUCGGUGGGACCU
Molecule: transfer RNA, 72 nt
Filed under: Bos taurus (domestic cattle)
Lineage: Eukaryota; Metazoa; Chordata; Mammalia; Artiodactyla; Bovidae
Also listed under: 4 other names
Description: tRNA-Gln (TTG) (tRNA-Gln-TTG-5-1)
Rfam family: tRNA
About the family: Transfer RNA (tRNA) molecules are approximately 80 nucleotides in length. Their secondary structure includes four short double-helical elements and three loops (D, anti-codon, and T loops).
Source: Rfam by way of RNAcentral